AAUAAUAGUAAUAAUAAUAGUUCCAACAACUAAAGACGCUACUAACGCUAAACGAUACUACACCAUAGCAAUAAAGUUACGUAGUUUGUCUAUUCAAACCAAACUUUAUUAAUUAAAAUAAUGUACAGUGUAGCGGUGGUCAGAUUGAAUAACAUACAGUCAAAAAAGGAGAAAAGUCGUCCUUUACACCAACUCGCGGCCAUCCUGCCUGCCUGUCUCGUGGGUGCCUGCGGAUGUCGUCACGUCGUAGCGUGUCGAUCCGUCUCAUCGCCUGGAAGCUUCCACGGAGAACUUUCGGAAGUCCACCAUAAACUGCCCGUACCUCAUUUGUCGUCCUGGAGCCGGACAAGCCUGCUGGAUAACACCUCGGGCCAUCUUCAUGCGCCACCUGUCCUGUUUACCUACCUUCCAAAAACACCACGGUGACGUCACAAGCCGGUACACAAACAAGUUAGCACAUUGCACCUUCACGGCUCUCUCGUCUUCCAGUGAGCAUUUUAUGAUGGAGCUGGGCCAGUCCAUCGGCAAAGUUGUAAUGUUCUUAUCGAAGGGUGAAUGAAAGUUUUCACUUCAGGCUCAUGUUUGUGUUCAAGCCAUUCACUGGGCUGUUGUCUUAUCAGUUGCUGCCAGCAGAGGGCUGAAGAGUCACACUCGACAAAAGUUGCAUUUCGUGAAUACUUUAUCAUCACCUCCAAUGAGUGAUGAGUACGUGAGUACGUUCUGGUGAGUCUUCUGAUGUCGUUGUAGAAAGCUGUCUGUGCCAAUCGUGCAGACACACCACGGUGCUGCUAUAAUGGGUUCUAUGAACAAGUGGAAUGGUUGCAUAACAACACACUUUCCACGUGUUAAACUCCUAUGUGAAGGAAAACUGACAGGAGCGAUGUUGAUAAUGACAGGUGAUUAUUUAUUUAAAACUCUUUAUAUUGAAUUUGUAGCUACUUUUGGCAGAAAAUAUUCAAGAUUCAAGAGAGUUUUAUUGUCGUGCAUGGUAAA
Long non-coding RNA from Dunckerocampus dactyliophorus (ringed pipefish), 993 nucleotides. RefSeq lists it as uncharacterized. The transcript is spliced from 3 exons. Lineage: Eukaryota; Metazoa; Chordata; Actinopteri; Syngnathiformes; Syngnathidae. The record is from RefSeq and is a predicted model, not a curated record.